UGGGCAGGGACUGCGCCCCGCGGAUUGCAGUCUGGACGCCUCUUUGGCAGCACCGAUGUUAUCCAAGAGAAAAAAGGCUUGGCAUGCUGCGACCAGGUCACUUCCGAGGGGCCACCUUUGGAAACUGCAAGGCUGAAAUGGCGCAUGGGGAUGAAAAGGUGCACAUAACCCUGAUAAUCAGGAAAAGCAAAUUCAAACACUACACUCUCCUAAAGUGACAGAGGACACAGAGUGACAGUUUCUUUCACAGAGAGCAUUCUGUCCUACCAUGGACUGCCAACAAUCCGCUUUUAAAGAAGCAGACUUGCUAAAAAGAAGCAAUCAGUGUUCUGAAUACAAGAGGCCCCUUGCACUCAGUUGACACAGAAGCGUAUGAAAAUGUGAGCUCCACCUAAGCUCUCUGAGCUCAUCUGCCCCAGCCACACACCUCGUCACUGUCCCCGACCGCUCCAGGCAGGUUCCACCCCAGGGCCUUUGCACUGGCCGUUCCUUCUUGCUGGAGUGUGCUCCCCUCAAACACCUGUGCGGCUCUUUCCCUUAACGUCCGCAGGUCUUGGCUCUAAUGUCACUAUCUUAGGGAAGGUCUGCUAUCUCCCCAC
Molecule: long non-coding RNA, 599 nt
Organism: Rhinolophus ferrumequinum (greater horseshoe bat)
Lineage: Eukaryota; Metazoa; Chordata; Mammalia; Chiroptera; Rhinolophidae
Exons: 3
Source: RefSeq, a predicted model, not a curated record